UUUUUUUUUUAAAGAUAAUCUUUGCAAGUCUCUUACUGCUUAAAAAUGGAACCAAAUGAAUUUGGCACUGCCUUUGCCCAUGUACCUGUACCACCACUUUCAGUUAGGGUUCAAUAACCUAAGUUACAUAUGUGAAACCUGGCAGGAGAGCAAUUUUCACUUGCCUACAUGUUGGUUGUAGCUCAUCCUUCAAGGCAAAGUUCAAAUGUUAUCUCCUUUGGGAAGCCUGCCUGACCCAGUAAAAUUAAUUGCUGCCUUCUCUAUAAUCCUUGCUUAUCUCUCAGAGUACUUAUCCCACCAUAUUAUAGUAACUCUCUUAUGAAACUGAGCUCUCUGAGGGCAGGUAACCUGCUCUAAUCAGCUUUGUCUUACUCUGUAGUGCCAGAUAUACCUAAACUCUGUAAUGUACAGUUGUUUUUAGAAUAGGAAGAUAAGAGCUAAGUGAAGCUCCCAGAUGGUAACAUUUAAGACAUCUAAAAUCUUAGUUUUAAUGUUUUUAUUUGAAGAACUGAACUCUCAAAGCUCCACCUUGCAAAAGCAUCUAUAAAAAAGUUGCCAGUAGUGUCAAGAUCAUGGCAGACAAGAAGUCCCCUGAGGAUAAAAAAGCAGCUCCAAAGCCUGGAUCUUUCCCUUUCCAAAAGUCUCCAUCAAUUACAGCAGUUUUAUUAUAGUCAGCCAGGAUAUUCUAGACCAAGAAAGACUAAACGCUAACAACUUCUGCUUUCAUUCCAGUAAUGCUCCAGAAACCUAGACAGUAAAGCAGGGGGAUGCAACAGCUGUAAGAUUAAGUGGGUUGCUUAUCCAGGGUGUCGACAGUCGCAAGCGACAGAAGGUUCAACCCUAGGGCAGCCACCAAUGCUCCUCCAUACCACACCGUGCAGGUAAGGCAGCACUGCUCCUCCACAGGGAUGCCUGCCACCUGAGAACCCUAAGCCUUCAGAGGGCCAAGGCACCCACUGAGACACACAUUUGUGAGCCAUGGACAAGGCAACUGGCAGUAUCUCCAGAGGGUCAGCACACGCUUACUGCCAGCAAUCAAAGGUGAAAAGCCACACUUGCUGCUGCUGCUUUAGUCUAAUCAAGAAUAAGACAAAGACAUGUUUCAAAGGCAAUAUAAAAGCAACGGCUCCCCAGUUACCUAUCAAUUUCCUAUACCACCCUAGGGAAGAAUAUGUGACAGCGCAAAGAUAAUGGUAAUAUCUACUAUAAAGACUGUAUAUUAAAAGAUGACUAAUGUGAUUUCUUCUUUCUCCUUCUAAAUAAAUCCCAUCAGAUUAUUUCUGCUUAAAUUCAUCUUAACUUCAUAAUUUCAAAGUGGCACUUAUUUUUCAUUUAUUAAAAUAACUUUCUCCUUUCGUUGCCUAGUAUCUGCCAAAAGUUUUUUUCAACUAAACCUGAAAGAUUGAAGGAACUACAAUUUACUAAGUAAGUGCCCACUAGAGGCUGACUUCUGAUGUGUACCGAGUUCCGAUUUGAUCGUCAAUGCUAAAAGUAACCCUUAAGUUAUAACAGGCAUUGGCUUCACUUUACAAAGAAACAGGCCUACCCGUUAAGAUUUUGUCAAAGAUUAUCCUCUUCUAAGUAGCCACCCCAGUACUCAAAACCCAGGCUAGCCCACCUGGCUCUUCACCAUGGCCUUGUACUGCGUCUUCCCAAGACCAUCAGCCUGCAGCUGGCCACCUCAGAGCCAAGUGACUGUCCUGAAAAUAACUAGCUACGACCAGUGGGCCCUCACUCUGCACCAGGCACUUCAUACACAUUAGCUCUGGCUCCUUCAGUUUAGCAAGGGAGACCCCUGACCUUAUUAUCUUACAGCUGAGAAAACUAAGUUUGGGGGGAGGGAAGUCACAAACAACUGACCAGGGAAAGUCUAACACCAUGGUGAAGAAGGUGGCCUGUGAAGCCAAAAACAUCUUGCUCAACUCCCAACUUUACUAUUUACUUCACAGUGACCUUAAGUCAUUUAAGCUCUCCAUUGGAGCCUCCAUUUCCUCAUCUAUGAAAAGGGCAUAAAAGUACCUACACCAUAUAAGAUUGUUAGGAAAAGACAAAACACCACUGUGAGUAGUACAUAAUUGCUCAAUAAAUGAGACUGCUCACCAUUUCUACCACGUUUCUUAUCUCUGAGGAACCCUUUCAUGUACACAGUCUCUUACAAGGUAACAUGAGACUUUUCUGUUUAGCAUGGCAGAACAACGUUAAGAGACAGUACAAUCUGUACUUAGGGAAUUCUCACACACGAAGGAGGCUGCAUCAUUAAAAACUUGCCAUUUCCUAACAUCUGGUACCCAUUCCUAAAUAGACAAUUAAGUCAAUGAUAAUCACAUCUCGUUUUAAAAACAGGGAACUUCCCUCCCAAAGUUUGCACUGACCUUCCUUCACAGAGGCUGUCCGUCGCCUUGUUCUUUUUCUCCCUUUGUGAUCUUCCUCUAGUAUCUUAUCAUCAAAGCCAGUCAGUUCGAUAGUUUCAGAUUGACUUGUGGGUCCAGCUGAGAACCACUCUGGUUCUUCUUCUGUGUAAGAAUCAUUUCUUCUACGCUCACCAAAGACACGCUUACUAUCCCCAAACUCCCUCUAGAAAAGUUCAUAAAGCAAAAUUAAAAUAAUUCUAGUCAUUUCUACUUCAAUUGAGGUCUUAACGAAUUAAGUAAUGCUCAGUCGUGAAAUGCAGAUAUGCGGUAGAUGUGAAUCCCAUCCCCAUACACCCCUACCCCAGCUCUCUACACUCCUCCCUGACUGCUGUGUUCAUCCAGGUUCUCACAGUAAUCUGGUAUGAAUGAAGUGAACAGCAAGUCCCCAAGCACAUGAGGUACCAAAGCAAAGGGUCCAGAAGACAAACCCUGAAACGCUUGUCCUUGUAGUCCCUCUCGCGGUCUCUGUCUCUCAAGUCCCGCAGGUCCUUAUCGCUAAGCCGAUGAUCCUUCUCAAAGGUCCGGGCAGAGAUUAUUCUCCCGCUGCCAAUCCUACGUCCACCGAGCAGACGAAGCCCAUCGCUGUCUUUCUCUAAUGGACUUCCCGAGCGCCGGGAGCUAACAGCAGCUGUCACGUGGCAGCCCCCUCCAAAGCUUCGUCUCUGUGGGCUGAGAACAACAUCUAAGUCGUCUUCUUUCACCCGCUCUCGUGGAUCUGGAGAGAUGCGGGAAACAGAAAAUUAAGCAAACCAAUAGGGGCAUCGUUUUUCUUCUUUAGGUGGUAUGUCCAUGACUGAUGGGGGGAGGAUUGGAAGACAGUCACCACUAAAAUUGGGCUUAUCAACAUAUUCAGAGUAACAUGUACAUUACAUAUUUAUAAAUAGGCUGAGACUUUUGCCUUUUCUCUUUGGAGCAACAAAUGUACUUCACAAUAAAUGAUUUUCCAUGA
This is a long non-coding RNA of Lemur catta (Ring-tailed lemur), 3360 nucleotides long. RefSeq lists it as uncharacterized. The record is from RefSeq and is a predicted model, not a curated record. NCBI's taxonomy places the organism in Eukaryota, Metazoa, Chordata, Mammalia, Primates, Lemuridae. The transcript has 2 exons.